Molecule: signal recognition particle RNA, 299 nt
Filed under: Aotus nancymaae (Ma's night monkey)
Lineage: Eukaryota; Metazoa; Chordata; Mammalia; Primates; Aotidae
Description: Metazoan signal recognition particle RNA (ENSANAG00000000546.1)
Rfam family: Metazoan signal recognition particle RNA
About the family: The signal recognition particle (SRP) is a universally conserved ribonucleoprotein. It is involved in the co-translational targeting of proteins to membranes. The eukaryotic SRP consists of a 300-nucleotide 7S RNA and six proteins: SRPs 72, 68, 54, 19, 14, and 9.
Source: RNAcentral
GCCGGGCAUGGUGGCCCGUGCCUGUAGUCCCAGCUACUCGGGAGGCUGAGGUGGGAGGAUUGCUUGAGCCCAGGAGUUCUGGGCUGUAGUGUGCUAUGCCAACUGGGUGUCCACACUAAGUUCAGCAUCAAUAUGGUGACCUCCCAGGAGCGGGGGACCACCAGGUUGCCUAAGGAGGGAUGAACUGGCCCAGGUCGGAAAUGGAGCAGGUCAAAAUUCCCAUGCUGAUCAGUAGUGGGAUUGUACCUGUGAAUAGCCACUGCACUCCAGCCCGAGCAACAUAGUGAGGCCCUGUCUCU